Molecule: long non-coding RNA, 287 nt
Filed under: Lathyrus oleraceus (garden pea)
Lineage: Eukaryota; Viridiplantae; Streptophyta; Magnoliopsida; Fabales; Fabaceae
Description: Pisum sativum (pea) long non-coding RNA (PSAT_LNC036472)
Source: RNAcentral
AAAAUUUUGAGUUAAAGAUUUUGGAAUGAUUUGAAAGAUUAAUUGUAAAAUUAAUUUUGCGGUGGGAUAUAUUUCAUCCAUGUUUCACUUCUCAUGAUAUAAUGCUAUAAAUGUGUUUUUGUAACAAAAAAUCAAUCCUUGAUGUUCGGUGGAUUAAAUUAUUUGUUGAUUUAAUAAGGUAGUACCUUCGUCUUUUAUUAUAAGUCGCUUUGCAAAAAUAUUUUGUACCACAAUAUAAGUUGUUUUAUAAUAUCAAUGAAUGAUUAAUGUUAUUUUCCCUAUUAUAC